Molecule: ribosomal RNA, 720 nt
Filed under: Geobacillus kaustophilus
Lineage: Bacteria; Bacillati; Bacillota; Bacilli; Caryophanales; Anoxybacillaceae
Description: bacterial SSU rRNA
Rfam family: Bacterial small subunit ribosomal RNA
Source: RNAcentral
UGCAGUGCGGCGUGCUAUACAUGCAGUCGAGCGGACCAAAUCGGAGCUUGCUCUGAUUUGGUCAGCGGCGGACGGGUGAGUAACACGUGGGCAACCUGCCCGCAAGACCGGGAUAACUCCGGGAAACCGGAGCUAAUACCGGAUAACACCGAAGACCGCAUGGUCUUUGGUUGAAAGGCGGCCUUUGGCUGUCACUUGCGGAUGGGCCCGCGGCGCAUUAGCUAGUUGGUGAGGUAACGGCUCACCAAGGCGACGAUGCGUAGCCGGCCUGAGAGGGUGACCGGCCACACUGGGACUGAGACACGGCCCAGACUCCUACGGGAGGCAGCAGUAGGGAAUCUUCCGCAAUGGGCGAAAGCCUGACGGAGCGACGCCGCGUGAGCGAAGAAGGCCUUCGGGUCGUAAAGCUCUGUUGUGAGGGACGAAGGAGCGCCGUUCGAAGAGGGCGGCGCGGUGACGGUACCUCACGAGGAAGCCCCGGCUAACUACGUGCCAGCAGCCGCGGUAAUACGUAGGGGGCGAGCGUUGUCCGGAAUUAUUGGGCGUAAAGCGCGCGCAGGCGGUUCCUUAAGUCUGAUGUGAAAGCCCACGGCUCAACCGUGGAGGGUCAUUGGAAACUGGGGGACUUGAGUGCAGGAGAGGAGAGCGGAAUUCCACGUGUAGCGGUGAAAUGCGUAGAGAUGUGGAGGAACACCAGUGGCGAAGGCGGCUCUCUGGCCU